GAUGAACGCUGGCGGCGUGCCUAACACAUGCAAGUCGAGCGAUUCUCUUCGGAGAAGAGCGGCGGACGGGUGAGUAACGCGUGGGUAACCUGCCCUGUACACACGGAUAACAUACCGAAAGGUAUGCUAAUACGAGAUAAUAUGCUUUUAUCGCAUGGUAGAAGUAUCAAAGCUUUUGCGGUACAGGAUGGACCCGCGUCUGAUUAGCUAGUUGGUAAGGUAACGGCUUACCAAGGCGACGAUCAGUAGCCGACCUGAGAGGGUGAUCGGCCACAUUGGAACUGAGACACGGUCCAAACUCCUACGGGAGGCAGCAGUGGGGAAUAUUGCACAAUGGGCGAAAGCCUGAUGCAGCAACGCCGCGUGAGCGAUGAAGGCCUUCGGUCGUAAGCUCUGUCUCAGAAGAUAAUGACGGUACUUGAGGAGGAAGCCCGGCGUAACUAACGUGCCAGCAGCGCGGUAAAGUACACGUCG
RNAcentral lists this ribosomal RNA (474 nucleotides) under uncultured bacterium. RNAcentral's name for it is "bacterial SSU rRNA". It matches the Rfam family "Bacterial small subunit ribosomal RNA", at positions 28 to 532 of the family's 1533-position model. The record is from RNAcentral.